UACAGAGGUCCCAAGCGUUGUUCGGAUUCACUGGGCGUAAAGGGUGCGUAGGCGGCGGGGUAAGUUCGAUGUGAAAGCUCGCAGCUCAACUGCGAAAUGGCAUUGAAAACUACUCUGCUCGAGGCUUGGAGGGGGGACUGGAAUGCUCGGUGUAGCAGUGAAAUGCGUAGAGAUCGAGCGGAACACCAGUGGCGAAGGCGAGUCCCUGGACAAGUCCUGACGCUGAGGCACGAAAGCCAGGGGAGCAAACAGG
RNAcentral lists this ribosomal RNA (253 nucleotides) under uncultured bacterium. RNAcentral describes it as "partial 16S ribosomal RNA". It matches the Rfam family "Bacterial small subunit ribosomal RNA", at positions 524 to 776 of the family's 1533-position model. The record is from RNAcentral.